UCCUAGUUAACCUAGGCAGUCUCGCUAGAGUCCCCAUCAUUACAUGCUGGUAACUAGCGACAAGGGUUGCGCUCGUUGCGGGACUUAACCCAACACCUCACGGCACGAGCUGACGACAGCCAUGCAGCACCUGUGUAGCAGUCCUUACGGAAAGCCGCGUUUCUGCGGCGGUCCACUACAUGUCAAGCCCAGGUAAGGUUCUUCGCGUAUCAUCGAAUUAAACCACAUGCUCCACUGCUUGUGCGAGCCCCCGUCAAUUCUUUUGAGUUUCACCCUUGCGGGCAUACUUCCCAGGCGGUGUAUUUAACGCGUUAGCUACGAUACAAAUAGGAUUGAGCCUAUUUACAUCCAAUACACAUCGUUUACGGCGUGGACUAC
This 378-nucleotide unclassified non-coding RNA is filed under the name uncultured bacterium. RNAcentral describes it as "contains 16S-23S intergenic spacer region". The record is from RNAcentral.